GCCGGCUGUAACGUGAACAUCAAGAACCGAGAAGGAGAGACGCCCCUCCUGACAGCCUCUGCCAGGGGCUACCAUGACAUCGUGGAGUGUCUGGCCGAACAUGGAGCCGACCUUAAUGCUUGCGACAAGGAUGGACACAUUGCCCUUCAUCUGGCUGUAAGACGGUGUCAGAUGGAGGUAAUCAAGACUCUCCUCAGCCAAGGGUGUUUCGUCGAUUAUCAAGACAGGCACGGCAAUACUCCCCUCCAUGUGGCGUGUAAAGAUGGCAACAUGCCUAUCGUGGUGGCCCUCUGUGAAGCAAACUGCAAUUUGGACAUCUCCAACAAGUAUGGACGAACGCCUCUGCACCUUGCGGCCAACAAUGGAAUCCUAGACGUGGUCCGGUAUCUCUGUCUGAUGGGAGCCAGCGUUGAGGCGCUGACCACGUGAUCUCUAAAACUGCAACAGAACAGCCCCUACAUGUCCCUUUUCUCCCCAGUGGCAGGGGAACAGUGACAGCUUCUGCCUCUCAGGGGUGACUUCAAGGACCGAGGCUUGCAGAGCACUGAGAGCUGGGUCGGGCACAUAUUAUGAGGUGGUGUUCAAUAAAUACUUGCUGUCAUCGUGUAUGUUCAUGGUGUAGAUACAGAAACAAAUUUAUUCAGUGUGAAACUGCAGCCUAUGAAAAAUCUCUAAAUAAAAAGCAAGCAUAAAA
RNAcentral lists this small RNA (694 nucleotides) under Pan troglodytes (chimpanzee). Its description in RNAcentral is "processed transcript". Lineage: Eukaryota; Metazoa; Chordata; Mammalia; Primates; Hominidae. The record is from RNAcentral.